RNAcentral lists this long non-coding RNA (236 nucleotides) under Elaeis guineensis (African oil palm). RNAcentral's name for it is "long non-coding RNA (EGUI_LNC066456)". Lineage: Eukaryota; Viridiplantae; Streptophyta; Magnoliopsida; Arecales; Arecaceae. The record is from RNAcentral.
AAACACGACUGUACACAGCUCCUAAACUGGAGUGGUCAAUCCCAUCUUGACACACGCACCGACAAGUCAAGUACUUGACUACACUCAGCAGCCUUCCAUCACUGAAUUAGAAAUUCAGGUAGUCCAGUGCCUAAGUGCAGUGAGUUGCUUGCAAGUCACCAUGGCGGUCUCAGGUCGGAGGGACAUUUAUACCCAUAUCCCAUCAGAGCAAAUCUUGACAGCAGAAAUAGCUCCGG